RNAcentral lists this ribosomal RNA (370 nucleotides) under uncultured Lactobacillus sp. RNAcentral's name for it is "bacterial SSU rRNA". It matches the Rfam family "Bacterial small subunit ribosomal RNA", at positions 173 to 524 of the family's 1533-position model. The record is from RNAcentral. Lineage: Bacteria; Bacillati; Bacillota; Bacilli; Lactobacillales; Lactobacillaceae.
AUAAGAAAGCAGAUCGCAUGAUCAGCUUUUAAAGGCGGGCGUAAAGCUGUCGCUAUGGGGAUGGGCCCCCGCGGUGCAUUAGCUAGUUGGUAAAGGUAAGGCUUUACAGGGCGAUGAUGCAUAGCCGAGUUGAGAGACUGAUCGGGCCACAUUGGGACUGAGACACGGGCCAAAACUCUACGGGGAGGCAGCAGUAGGAAUCUUCCACAAUGGACGCAAGUCUGAUGGAGCAACGCCGCGUGAGUGAAGAAGGUUUUCGGAUCGUAAAAGCUCUGUUGUUGGUGAAGAAGGAUAGAGGUAGUAACUGGCCUUUAUUUGACGGUAAUCAACCAGAAGUCACGGCUAACUACGUGCCAGCAGCCGCGGUAAU